Non-coding RNA from Prunus avium (sweet cherry), 1122 nucleotides. The record is from RefSeq and is a predicted model, not a curated record. Lineage: Eukaryota; Viridiplantae; Streptophyta; Magnoliopsida; Rosales; Rosaceae.
GGGUUAACCCGUUUUCGACCCGAAACGACCCGUUAGCUUAACGGGUGGCUAACGGGUUCACCCGUUUUCAACCCGACCCAAUAAGCUCAACCCAAAUACUGAUAAUUUCGUGCGAAUUCGUGUCGUGUUAACGGGUCGUGUGCAAUAUUGCCAGGUCUAGUCUUGGCUCUGUCUUGGGCCUGUUUCCCUGUUACUUGGAUCUGUUACUCUAUUUUUCUGUUUCAGUGUUUCAGCUUUUGUUCAUGUUUGGGAUCGUGAUAUGUUUUUCCGUAACAACUGUCCUUCCUUCUCUUAUUAUUAUUUUCUAUGUUUUUUGAAAAUUCAAUUUCUAUGUCCCUAAUUUGAUUUAGGGUUAAAAUGUUUGGGUAUUUAAUUGUAAAUUAUCUGUGAAAAUCAAUAUUUUUUUGUAUAUAUUUUCGGUAUUUAAUUAUAUAAUUAUCUGUAAAUUAUGACUGUCAAAUUCCCUUGAAGUUCCAUUUUUUGAUCAAAUUAGGCACUUUUCAGUUCAGUUGUUGGUUUUUUACUGCGAACCUACACUGAGUUUUGCCCGUGCUUCCCAUUCUGGUGAGGUAUAAGCUAGAGGUUGCAAAUGCAGAGCUCGAGGAAGCCAAGCGCAGCAAGGAAACUACUGAGCAAGAUCUUAAAGGAUACGAAGUUGAUGUUCUUAAUUUGCUUAGGCUUUAAUCGAAUCUUCAAUGCAGUCAAGGAUUUCUCUGACUCAAGACGAGAUUUCCACAGUCGGAUCGGAUUUGGAUGCUCUUAAGGGGCUUCACGAGAUGAGUUUAUUAGCCAAAUGGUUGAGAUCAACACUCAGAUAAGGUUAGCCUCAUUUGAAAAGCAAAAGAGUACAUGUAACAAGUUCUCAGAGCAUUUUGGCAUAAAUGGUGUAUUUGUAUGCGUGAAAAUAGAUUGGGGUAUUUUCGUAAGUACGGGUACGAAGAAUCAAAUAUUGUAAUCGAAAUUAGAAGAAUCAAAUGUUACAGUUGUUAGUCUAUAUGCAGAGAAGAAGGUUGUAGAGAAUAUUUGGUCAUUGGAUAAUUUCUCUUCUCUAAACCUCUUUUAUUUUUCUUUUGAUUUACUGUAUCCUAUGUAAUGCAAAUUCUUACGUUUUCAGUCCCAAAA